GCUGGAAUCGCUAGUAAUCGCAAAUCAGAAUGUUGCGGUGAAUACGUUCCCGGGUCUUGUACACACCGCCCGUCACACCAUGGGAGUUGGAAAUGCCCGAAGUCAGUGACCCAACCUAAGGGAGGGAGCUGCCGAAGGCAGGUUCGAUGACUGGGGUGAAGUCGUAACAAGGUAGC
RNAcentral lists this ribosomal RNA (176 nucleotides) under uncultured bacterium. Its description in RNAcentral is "partial 16S ribosomal RNA". It matches the Rfam family "Bacterial small subunit ribosomal RNA", at positions 1325 to 1500 of the family's 1533-position model. The record is from RNAcentral.